AAGUCGGGGACGAAGCCCGGCUCCCGUAGGAGUCCGAGCGGAGUCUUCUCGCGGUUGAAGCUAGGAGCGAAGUCCGGCUCCCGUAGGAGUCCGGAUGAAGUCCACCUGCAAUUAAAGUCAGGGGUGAAGUCUGGCUCCCGUAGGAGUCCGGAUGAAGUUUACCAGCGGUCGAAGUUGGGGAUGAAGCCCGGCUCUCGUAGGAGUCCGGGCAGAGUCUUUUCGCGGUC
RNAcentral lists this long non-coding RNA (227 nucleotides) under Elaeis guineensis (African oil palm). Its description in RNAcentral is "long non-coding RNA (EGUI_LNC073238)". The record is from RNAcentral. Lineage: Eukaryota; Viridiplantae; Streptophyta; Magnoliopsida; Arecales; Arecaceae.